UAAUACGGAGGGUGCAAGCGUUGUUCGGAAUCACUGGGCGUAAAGGGCGCGCAGGCGGCCUGAUCAGUCAGAUGUGAAAGCCCACGGCUUAACUGUGGAAGUGCAUUUGAAACUGUCAGGCUUGAGUACCAGAGGGGAAAGUGGAAUUCCCGGUGUAGAGGUGAAAUUCGUAGAUAUCGGGAGGAAUACCGGUGGCGAAGGCGACUUUCUGGCUGGAUACUGACGCUGAGGCGCGAAAGCGUGGGGAGCAAACAGG
RNAcentral lists this ribosomal RNA (256 nucleotides) under uncultured bacterium. RNAcentral describes it as "partial 16S ribosomal RNA". It matches the Rfam family "Bacterial small subunit ribosomal RNA", at positions 521 to 776 of the family's 1533-position model. The record is from RNAcentral.